RNAcentral lists this ribosomal RNA (287 nucleotides) under uncultured bacterium. Its description in RNAcentral is "partial 16S ribosomal RNA". It matches the Rfam family "Bacterial small subunit ribosomal RNA", at positions 28 to 334 of the family's 1533-position model. The record is from RNAcentral.
GAUGAACGCUGGCGGCGUGCCUAAUACAUGCAAGUCGAGCGAACCACUUCGGUGGGAAGCGGCGAACGGGUGAGUAACACGUAGGUAAUCUGCCCAUCAGACGGGGACAACGAUUGGAAACGAUCGCUAAUACCGGAUAGGACGAAAGUUUAAAGAUGCUCCUGGCAUCGCUGAUGGAUGAGCCUGCGGCGCAUUAGCUAGUUGGUAGGGUAAAGGCCUACCAAGGCGACGAUGCGUAGCCGACCUGAGAGGGUGAACGGCCACACUGGGACUGAGACACGGCCCAG